UCUUACGACCAUACCAACCUGAAAGCACUUGAUCUCAGAAGCCAUCAAGGGCCGGGCUUGGUUAGUACCUGGAUGGGAGACUGCCUGGGAAUACCAGAUGCCAUAGGCU
This 109-nucleotide ribosomal RNA is filed under the name Xenopus laevis (African clawed frog). The record is from RNAcentral. Lineage: Eukaryota; Metazoa; Chordata; Amphibia; Anura; Pipidae.